AACGAACGCUGGCGGCAGGCUUAACACAUGCAAGUCGAACGAAGUCUUCGGACUUAGUGGCGCACGGGUGAGUAACACGUGGGAAUAUACCUCUUGGUGGGGGAUAACGUCGGGAAACUGACGCUAAUACCGCAUACGCCCUUCGGGGGAAAGAUUUAUCGCCGAGAGAUUAGCCCGCGUCCGAUUAGCUAGUUGGUAAGGUGAUGGCUUACCAAGGCGACGAUCGGUAGCUGGUCUGAGAGGAUGAUCAGCCACACUGGGACUGAGACACGGCCCAGACUCCUACGGGAGGCAGCAGUGUGUAAUAUUGGCCAAUGGGGGCAACCCUGAUCCAGCCAUGCCGCGUGAGUGAUGAAGGCCCUAGGGUUGUAAAGCUCUUUCGGGUGGGACGAUGAUGACGGUACCACCAGAAGAAGCCCCGGCUAACUUCGUGCCAGCCGCCGCGGUAA
This 449-nucleotide ribosomal RNA is filed under the name uncultured bacterium. RNAcentral's name for it is "partial 16S ribosomal RNA". It matches the Rfam family "Bacterial small subunit ribosomal RNA", at positions 29 to 523 of the family's 1533-position model. The record is from RNAcentral.